Molecule: ribosomal RNA, 472 nt
Filed under: uncultured bacterium
Lineage: Bacteria
Description: bacterial SSU rRNA
Rfam family: Bacterial small subunit ribosomal RNA
Source: RNAcentral
CUCUGUGACUCCUACGGGAGGCAGCAGUGGGGAAUAUUGCACAAUGGGGGAAACCCUGAUGCAGCCAUGCCGCGUGUGUGAAGAAGGCCUUCGGGUUGUAAAGCACUUUCAGUAGGGAGGAAGGUAGUGUAGUUAACACCUGCAUUAUUUGACGUUACCUACAGAAGAAGCACCGGCUAACUCCGUGCCAGCAGCCGCGGUAAUACGGAGGGUGCGAGCGUUAAUCGGAAUUACUGGGCGUAAAGCGCAUGCAGGCGGCCUGUUAAGUCAGAUGUGAAAGCCCGGGGCUUAACCUCGGAAUUGCAUUUGAAACUGGCAGGCUAGAGUCUUGUAGAGGGGGUAGAAUUUCAGGUGUAGCGGUGAAAUGCGUAGAGAUCUGAAGGAAUACCAGUGGCGAAGGCGGCCCCCUGGACAAAGACUGACGCUCAGAUGCGAAAGCGUGGGGAGCAAACAGGAUUAGAUACCCUUGGAG